Molecule: ribosomal RNA, 1555 nt
Filed under: Staphylococcus aureus
Lineage: Bacteria; Bacillati; Bacillota; Bacilli; Caryophanales; Staphylococcaceae
Description: 16S ribosomal RNA
Rfam family: Bacterial small subunit ribosomal RNA
Source: RNAcentral
AUUUUUAUGGAGAGUUUGAUCCUGGCUCAGGAUGAACGCUGGCGGCGUGCCUAAUACAUGCAAGUCGAGCGAACGGACGAGAAGCUUGCUUCUCUGAUGUUAGCGGCGGACGGGUGAGUAACACGUGGAUAACCUACCUAUAAGACUGGGAUAACUUCGGGAAACCGGAGCUAAUACCGGAUAAUAUUUUGAACCGCAUGGUUCAAAAGUGAAAGACGGUCUUGCUGUCACUUAUAGAUGGAUCCGCGCUGCAUUAGCUAGUUGGUAAGGUAACGGCUUACCAAGGCAACGAUGCAUAGCCGACCUGAGAGGGUGAUCGGCCACACUGGAACUGAGACACGGUCCAGACUCCUACGGGAGGCAGCAGUAGGGAAUCUUCCGCAAUGGGCGAAAGCCUGACGGAGCAACGCCGCGUGAGUGAUGAAGGUCUUCGGAUCGUAAAACUCUGUUAUUAGGGAAGAAUAUAUGUGUAAGUAACUGUGCACAUCUUGACGGUACCUAAUCAGAAAGCCACGGCUAACUACGUGCCAGCAGCCGCGGUAAUACGUAGGUGGCAAGCGUUAUCCGGAAUUAUUGGGCGUAAAGCGCGCGUAGGCGGUUUUUUAAGUCUGAUGUGAAAGCCCACGGCUCAACCGUGGAGGGUCAUUGGAAACUGGAAAACUUGAGUGCAGAAGAGGAAAGUGGAAUUCCAUGUGUAGCGGUGAAAUGCGCAGAGAUAUGGAGGAACACCAGUGGCGAAGGCGGCUUUCUGGUCUGUAACUGACGCUGAUGUGCGAAAGCGUGGGGAUCAAACAGGAUUAGAUACCCUGGUAGUCCACGCCGUAAACGAUGAGUGCUAAGUGUUAGGGGGUUUCCGCCCCUUAGUGCUGCAGCUAACGCAUUAAGCACUCCGCCUGGGGAGUACGACCGCAAGGUUGAAACUCAAAGGAAUUGACGGGGACCCGCACAAGCGGUGGAGCAUGUGGUUUAAUUCGAAGCAACGCGAAGAACCUUACCAAAUCUUGACAUCCUUUGACAACUCUAGAGAUAGAGCCUUCCCCUUCGGGGGACAAAGUGACAGGUGGUGCAUGGUUGUCGUCAGCUCGUGUCGUGAGAUGUUGGGUUAAGUCCCGCAACGAGCGCAACCCUUAAGCUUAGUUGCCAUCAUUAAGUUGGGCACUCUAAGUUGACUGCCGGUGACAAACCGGAGGAAGGUGGGGAUGACGUCAAAUCAUCAUGCCCCUUAUGAUUUGGGCUACACACGUGCUACAAUGGACAAUACAAAGGGCAGUGAAACCGCGAGGUCAAGCAAAUCCCAUAAAGUUGUUCUCAGUUCGGAUUGUAGUCUGCAACUCGACUACAUGAAGCUGGAAUCGCUAGUAAUCGUAGAUCAGCAUGCUACGGUGAAUACGUUCCCGGGUCUUGUACACACCGCCCGUCACACCACGAGAGUUUGUAACACCCGAAGCCGGUGGAGUAACCUUUUAGGAGCUAGCCGUCGAAGGUGGGACAAAUGAUUGGGGUGAAGUCGUAACAAGGUAGCCGUAUCGGAAGGUGCGGCUGGAUCACCUCCUUU